Molecule: ribosomal RNA, 473 nt
Filed under: uncultured bacterium
Lineage: Bacteria
Description: bacterial SSU rRNA
Rfam family: Bacterial small subunit ribosomal RNA
Source: RNAcentral
UGGGGAAUCUUGGACAAUGGGCGCAAGCCUGAUCCAGCCAUGCCGCGUGGGUGAAGAAGGCCUUCGGGUUGUAAAGCCCUUUUGUUGGGAAAGAAAUCCAGCUGGCUAAUACCCGGUUGGGAUGACGGUACCCAAAGAAUAAGCACCGGCUAACUUCGUGCCAGCAGCCGCGGUAAUACGAAGGGUGCAAGCGUUACUCGGAAUUACUGGGCGUAAAGCGUGCGUAGGUGGUCGUUUAAGUCCGUUGUGAAAGCCCUGGGCUCAACCUGGGAACUGCAGUGGAUACUGGACGACUAGAGUGUGGUAGAGGGUAGCGGAAUUCCUGGUGUAGCAGUGAAAUGCGUAGAGAUCAGGAGGAACAUCCAUGGCGAAGGCAGCUACCUGGACCAACACUGACACUGAGGCACGAAAGCGUAGGGGAGCAAACAGGAUUAGAUACCCAUGUAGUCCCUGAGCGGGCUGGCAAGGCGCAU